This is a long non-coding RNA of Mustela erminea (ermine), 1234 nucleotides long. RefSeq lists it as uncharacterized. NCBI's taxonomy places the organism in Eukaryota, Metazoa, Chordata, Mammalia, Carnivora, Mustelidae. The transcript has 4 exons. The record is from RefSeq and is a predicted model, not a curated record.
GAGCCCCGGCGCCUGGUCCGUUUCUAUUUCCCUUUUCUCCACCCUUCCCUUAAGACGCAGAUAAGGGACAAGUCGCACUAAUGUGUGUGAGGUUUCUCCCCCCUCCCCCCGCCCUGCUUGAGAAGGAUCUUUUCUCUCGGGGGUCGAUCGCCUUCCAAUGGGCCGACUUUCACGCCAGCUGCGAGGACCCUGGACUGGGCCUUUCCCAAUCGUAGGACACUGAUUUACCGAAGAAUGACCGCAGCCUUUCCUUCCCCAAACGCUCGCCCCGAAGGGAAACAAAAGGAGCUAGGUGUGCUCAUCGGCACUCCGCUUCCUUGAUUUGGUUUACCUGGGGGAAGGAAAGGGGAGGGCAAGCAGUAAAACCCCUCUCUGCUUGCAGGUGCUUCUUUUGUUUCUGAAAUUCGGGAAAAGCCAGACCUCAACGACUGGGCACUUUAAAAUGUUCCUGUAUCUGUGACAAAAUUGUAUCGUCACAUAUUUCAUUCGUUUCUUCCCCUACAGGGUGCUAAGCUGAGAGGCAAAGGACCAUGAUUUUGCACCACAAAUGUAAUUAAUGCACGUGGGAUAGUCCUAGUCUGCAUAAUCUUGGCAAGACCACAGUUGAUGGGUCUAGUCUACCCUAUUUGGAUUAGCAAAUUAUCCUGCUAAAUUGUUAACUUGCAGUUGAAGAAUUUGGCUCCAGCCUGAUUAUACUAACAGUUUUUAAGAGACACUUAUCAACAGGAGGUUUCUUGCAGAUUCUAUGCUUCCCAGGAGACAUGGAUGAUGUCAUAAGCUAUCAGAUCGCCUUUUCUACAUCAGCCACUAAGUCAUGACUUAACAAAUUCAGACCUGCAAUUGUCCUAGAUGCACCCAGCUAUAUCCCUAGCACUAUUAAUUUUUAGGGAUGAAGCUUGUGAACUUGCAUCAUACUUGAGAAACUGGAGACCAUCUGCAGAGAAUGCCUCAACUUCAGAAGAUCAUUUCUGUGAUCACUUGCUCUUGCAUCUUUCUUGUUUCAAUGGAAGAGAACUCCUAUCAGAAAGAACUCCACCCCUUGUACUCUGGAUCUCAUCCUUCUCUCCUGCUCAAGGACUUGAUUCUUCAAUCAAUGCUUGUGAAGUUUCUUAGAUCUUUUUUUUUUUUCUUUUUAAAGUUUUAAGUAUGUUCCAUGCCCAACAUAGCACUUGAACUCAUUCAUGACCCCGAGAUCAAGGGUCACAUGCUCUACUGCCUGUGAAAUUUCUUAAUU